RNAcentral lists this ribosomal RNA (495 nucleotides) under uncultured bacterium. RNAcentral describes it as "partial 16S ribosomal RNA". It matches the Rfam family "Bacterial small subunit ribosomal RNA", at positions 28 to 507 of the family's 1533-position model. The record is from RNAcentral.
GACGAACGCUGGCGGCGUGCCUAAUACAUGCAAGUAGAACGCUGAAGGAGGAGCUUGCUCUUCUGGAUGAGUUGCGAACGGGUGAGUAACGCGUAGGUAACCUGCCUGGUAGCGGGGGAUAACUAUUGGAAACGAUAGCUAAUACCGCAUAACAGUAGAUGUUGCAUGACAUUUACUUAAAAGGUGCAAUUGCAUCACUACCAGAUGGACCUGCGUUGUAUUAGCUAGUUGGUGGGGUAACGGCUCACCAAGGCGACGAUACAUAGCCGACCGGAGAGGGGGGUCGGCCACACUGGGACUGAGACACGGCCCAGACUCCUACGGGAGGCAGCAGUAGGGAAUCUUCGGCAAGGGACGGAAGUCUGACCGAGCAACGCCGCGGGAGGGAAGAAGGUUUUCGGGUCGUAAAGCUCGGUUGUAAGAGAAGAACGAGUGUGAGAGUGGAAAGUUCACACUGUGACGGUAUCUUACCAGAAAGGGACGGCUAACUACGUG